This is a long non-coding RNA of Rattus norvegicus (Norway rat), 1674 nucleotides long. RefSeq lists it as uncharacterized. The record is from RefSeq and is a predicted model, not a curated record. NCBI's taxonomy places the organism in Eukaryota, Metazoa, Chordata, Mammalia, Rodentia, Muridae.
AGUUGUAAGUGCAGCAGUCCCGGGCGCCAUCUUGGGAUUGCCGUUGCACCCGCUCCCCACAAUUUAUAACCCAGGGCAGCAUUUGUGGUUUAAAGUUAGAACAUGGCAUUGGUUUCUCAAUAAUUUUUACCUAAAUUUAUCUAAGUUCACCAAUGAGCUGAUGUAGAAAGUAGAAAAUUAACAGAGUCACAAACUCUAACCCAGAAGACGUGAGGGUUAAGUGGCAGAGAUGUUGAGUUACCCAUCCUAACCUCUGUUAAUUGUAAAAGGUUUAAUCAUUCUGGUUCAGUUAAUAUCUCUAAAUAAAUUAUAAGUUAACAAAUGUUUGUCAGGGCAAACCUUGAUCCAGGCUUCUCUCCAUGUGAGGCAAACAGAGGCCAGUAGCCAAGGACACUGUAUGCUCUCCAGUUGAAAUCAGAGCCAGCUCCCGGGAGACCAGAGAAGCCUAAACAAACAUCUGGGCCCUUUCAGCAGCUUACUGUAUCCAGCUUUUAGAACAGUCCUCUCCGGAUCUCUUUAUAGAAACAAAAUACACAGCGUGCUUCCUCACAGAAGACACGUAAGAGGCAGAAAUCUCAGGUUGCCGCUCCUGUUUGAUUUUGAUAAGUAACGAUGAUUUCUUUCAUUGACCUCUACAGUCUUGCAUUAGCGUGAUCUCAUUUCUCCCGUGUAUGGUUCCCCCAUUCUAUAUUUUGGACUUCUGCUGCAUUUAUAAAGGCAUUUGCUUUGUACGGAUUCGUGGCAAAUCCGAAUAGGCAAACCCACCCGCUACAGGAGUAGCUGGUGUCCUUACGUAGCCGACAACUAGAGGGGACGAAUGGAUGCGCUGCGGCAGCCCCACAGUGAAAGGAAAGCAGGGACAGAAGCAGUUUGUUCUGCGCAGUGCCCCUGUGAAAACUGAACGCUGGCAGCAACGGGUGGAAUGUAGCCUCCCAGUCCACCCUCAGACAAACGAUCUUAAACUCUCCAUCAGAACGGCUCAGCAGCCCAAGUUCGCACCUGCUUAGGUUUUCCAGAAGGAAGAUGCUCUUAGCGGUGUUACUGAAACAUGCAUCAGUCCUCAAGUUCAGCCAAGACUCUGCUUGUUUAAUGGCCACUUAGGUCAUUUAAAGUGGAGCAGGAUCAUCUCAACUUUGUAAGGAAGCUCACUGCUGCUGCUGACUAAAGCCGGUGCAUGCUGCCCUUCAUCCUGCAACAUGAUUGAUGUGGGACGUCCUGGUGACAGUGACUUCUUCACCAUCAUAGCUAAGUAAAGGGACAUCUUCUCACCACAGAACACACCAACAUCUGCCACCGUUCUGGAAAUCUUAGAUGGUUUUCUUUAAAAUAAGCUAGACUAUCCUUAAACUAAAACCUUACUAUCUCAAAGUGCUUUUUUUUUUCCAGUUCCUUAAAGAAAAAGAGUCUGCUCCAAAUUUUUAAAAAGUGUUCACUAAGACGGGUCUGCAGUAAUAGCCAAAUAGAACAAGCGAAAAGUAACUACUUGUGUAGCGGGAAUGUUUAACAGAGCAUGAACUAAUGCAGUUGACCACAAAGUAAAUCUAAAUACAAACACUGGGAAAACUCUCCGAGUCUUAAAUCAUUUUGUAAAGUUACAGAGAUAUCCACAUUACACAAAACCACUGUUAAAUUAAAAAGAGGAAAGAAAAAAUAAAUUUCACAGAAUCGGACAAA